UUAACUUGAAGAAAGCAAUGGAGGAGCUAGAGGUGUUGAGUUGAGAUGGAUCUUGUACAAAGAUAGGGCAAGAGCUUUAGAGAUUGCCUAUCAAGAGUGAUGAGGAGUCUAAAGGUGUCCAGAAGUGAUCUGAUGGAUGUUCUAAGCAAGGUCAAAGUCUAGGAGAGACUUAGAAGAGUGUUGAGGAGCAAAUGGGCGAGUGUGCAAAGAUAGGGCGAGGCUGUACGGCCAUGUACGGAUCUGUACGGACCGGUACGACCCGAGAGAUCACAACUCGCCCAUUUGAGAUGUUUUGAGAUUGUGCAAAGUCCGGGACAAGAUGUGCAAGCUUAGGGCGUGAUCAGAACAUGUCAAGGAGGCUUUGUGCAAUCUUAGGGUGUUGGGAGAAGGCCCUGGUCGUUUGGAAUCAAGAAGGCAUCAAGAAGGCAUCAAGAAGAUGCUUUGUGGAGGCAAACAACCAAUGGGAGCUUCCUUGUGUGUGAUUGGCUAGUUCUGGUCUUGGACAGGCUGUCUCUUGCUGUAAAGAGAAGGGAGCCACGACCAUGAACCUGGACAGAUGCAUGGGAAGAUUAGGAGGAGCCUAAGGAGAGCCAAUCACAAGCAAGGAGCCAGCUUGCCUUGGUUUGAAUUAAAGUGAACAGCCAACCUUAUCCUCACAACUCUUCAGAUAUUACAAGAAGACCAUCUCAUCUACACCAUCCAUUCACUCAAGUUAAUAUUAUCCAUUAGAUUUAGGUUUCAGAUUGUGUAAACCUAUUGAGCUUAUAAAUAAGCAUGUAAAUGGCGAUUUGGAGCAUUAAGGGAGUAAGGGGGAUUUCCCCUCUCCACUUCAUGGAAAUGAAAAGUGUUCUUGAAUCAGAUUCUCUUAAUCUCUCCCUUUCUUAGUCUCUAAAUCUCUUAAUCUCUCAAAGUGUCUUGUUUCUGAUUUAAGUAAACACUCUUAUCAAUCUCUCUUUCUAAAUCACCUAGAGCAAGCUCUCAUCUUUCUCCAUUGGAGUUUAUACACACACAAACACAACUAGAGAAGAGAACUCUACAAAUCUCACAUGGUAUCAGAGCCAGGUUCAUCAGAACCUGAGCUGAAGCUUCCGCAAACACACUGCUCUCUCCUCAGCUCAAAUCCAAACCAGUGAAGCUCUCUCCAUCCGGUUCAGCCUCUUAUGAAGAAGAAGACUGAAGCUUGGCGAGUCCUCAUGGUUCCUCAUCCUGUUCUCUUCCUGUCCUGAUGGUGGUUCACAUUGGAAGCAAAGGUGUAUGGACAAGGCCUAGCUAUCCUUGUACCAAGGCGCCUUGUCCAAGAGAAGAUCACAUCCGGUUCCAAAGAAGAUGGUGUCAAGUGCUUGGCGCCUAGUGGAGAUGAAGAAAGGAGGGGUCUUUGAAGCUGAUGGUACAAGAUGGAGGCCAUGAACUGAAGGUGAAGGAGGUGGGUGACGAUCCAUACUCCCAAAACCAGCAAAGCAUGGCCGGUUUCAUGACAGGUUAAGGAACCAAUCUGGUUCCUUGGGGUAAACGAUUCUUAAAACCUUCUUGAUGAUGAGCAGAUGAUUAUGAUAAGUUGUGUGUUGUGAUGUGAUUGAAAACCUGAGGAUUGUUUAAGGAUUGCUAAAUGAAAAUGAAUUUAGAAUCUAUCCCAGGAUGCUUAAAAGAGACUUGUUUGGUGAUUGAGAUUGAUUUUAAAAUGCUUAGCUCCGGUUCAUUGUAGUGCUUGUUGUGAUUGAUUGAAUCUGCUUGCAUACAUGAGUAAAAACCGACUGAAAGUUAGUGCAUAGUGGCUUGAAGUUACCUUACAUUGAGGCACUAGAUUAAUGUCUAGUAGCUGAGUAAAGGAGCUGUCAAAAAUUGCCUAAGUGUCUUGUAAUGAAUCUGUAGGAUCAUACUAGAACUUAGAGAGCUGAGCUUGCAAUGAUUUGAAAUGGAUGUCUUGUUUGAUCUUGCAUUGCUUUAGUGAGACAUUGGUGUUCAAGCUUGAUGUGGAAUCAAGGACUGACCCAAUGCACCUAUGUCUAAUCUUCUCUGGAGGUUGAGUGGUGUUUCAGGUGCACAAGGAGUGUUCUUAGUUCUUCACCAAUCCAAGAGAAAGAGGAAGGCAUUGCCCAUUGUCAUGAGCAAUGGAGAGCGGUUACUGAAGUGGUUAUGUGCCACUGGUUAGUGAAGACUCACGGCUGCUCACUUCCAAGCUUGGACCCUCAUUCUAUCCAAGCUUGAGGAGGGGAGUUAAGUGAGCAGAAGAAGAAAGUUCCACAAGAGCAUUCCCUGAAGAUGGCGAGUUGAAGAAGUGCUGCAAGGGUCUGAUGGUGUGAUCAUGAAGCUGCUCUCCCAAGCUUGACUUGUUCCACAUGGUCAAGCUUGAGGGGGAGUGUUGAGAAGACUUCAAAUGAUCACAAAGGUGCCGGUUCAAGAAGGUGGACGGCAGUGAGCAAACGUAGAGAAUCAAGAAGCUCUCCUUCCAAGCUUGACUUGUUCCACAUGGUCAAGCUUGAGGGGGAGUGUUGAGAAGACUUCUUGAUGAGAGCACUUGGCGGUUAUUCAAGAAGAGGAGCAGACCGGUUUGUGAAGCAAGAUGGAGGAUGGUGAAGCAAUCUCCAAGGCGGCCAAAGCAGAGCCGCCUUGGUACUACAGGCUGAGGCAUCCGACCAUGAAGCUUUAGAACAAGGUGGAAACUCUAGAAGAAGAAGCAGCCAAGGCUCAGCUAUUACUUGAUACUCUUGAGAGGAUGAUCUGAAGGUUCCAUUCUAGUCAUCUAGCAAGCCGGUUAGGUGAAAGGGGAAGUGAAGGAGAUCAGACCGUGAGAUGAGUACAAGAUGAAGAGUGAUGAGCAAGAGAAGAUGUGAUCUACCUUGCAUCACAAGAAGGGGCCGUGAUCCAGAGUCUUUGUGUCCCUUACAUUGUUGGUAAGGCACAAAGACUCACUGGCCAAUCCCUAGGCCUUGGAGGCUUUACUCUUUUUCCCUCAUCAAGGUUUUGUCCCAAAGGGUUUUCCUUGGUGAGGUUUUUAAUGAGGAAGUUCUUCAAGGUUCCAAGCUUGACUUAGGAUCAGCUAAAGUCAAGCUUGAGGAGGAGUGUUAACUUGAAGAAAGCAAUGGAGGAGCUAGAGGUGUUGAGUUGAGAUGGAUCUUGUACAAAGAUAGGGCAAGAGCUUUAGAGAUUGCCUAUCAAGAGUGAUGAGGAGUCUAAAGGUGUCCAGAAGUGAUCUGAUGGAUGUUCUAAGCAAGGUCAAAGUCUAGGAGAGACUUAGAAGAGUGUUGAGGAGCAAAUGGGCGAGUGUGCAAAGAUAGGGCGAGGCUGUACGGCCAUGUACGGAUCUGUACGGACCGGUACGACCCGAGAGAUCACAACUCGCCCAUUUGAGAUGUUUUGAGAUUGUGCAAAGUCCGGGACAAGAUGUGCAAGCUUAGGGCGUGAUCAGAACAUGUCAAGGAGGCUUUGUGCAAUCUUAGGGUGUUUGGGAGAAGGCCCUGGUCGUUUGGAAUCAAGAAGGCAUCAAGAAGGCAUCAAGAAGAUGCUUUGUGGAGGCAAACAACCAAUGGGAGCUUCCUUGUGUGUGAUUGGCUAGUUCUGGUCUUGGACAGGCUGUCUCUUGCUGUAAAGAGAAGGGAGCCACGACCAUGAACCUGGACAGAUGCAUGGGAAGAUUAGAGGAGCCUAAGAGAGCCAAUCACAAGCAAGGAGCCAGCUUGCCUUGGUUUGAAUUAAAGUGAACAGCCAACCUUAUCCUCACAACUCUUCAGAUAUUACAAGAAGACCAUCUCAUCUACACCAUCCAUUCACUCAAGUUAAUAUUAUCCAUUAGAUUUAGGUUUCAGAUUGUGUAAACCUAUUGAGCUUAUAAAUAAGCAUGUAAAUGGCGAUUUGGAGCAUUAAGGGAGUAAGGGGGAUUUCCCCUCUCCACUUCAUGGAAAUGAAAAGUGUUCUUGAAUCAGAUUCUC
This 3926-nucleotide long non-coding RNA is filed under the name Brassica rapa (field mustard). RNAcentral describes it as "long non-coding RNA (BRAP_LNC008690)". Lineage: Eukaryota; Viridiplantae; Streptophyta; Magnoliopsida; Brassicales; Brassicaceae. The record is from RNAcentral.